UUUUGAAUGUCAAUGUUAGAU
RNAcentral lists this non-coding RNA (21 nucleotides) under Caenorhabditis elegans. Lineage: Eukaryota; Metazoa; Nematoda; Chromadorea; Rhabditida; Rhabditidae. The record is from RNAcentral.